This 253-nucleotide ribosomal RNA is filed under the name uncultured bacterium. Its description in RNAcentral is "partial 16S ribosomal RNA". It matches the Rfam family "Bacterial small subunit ribosomal RNA", at positions 524 to 776 of the family's 1533-position model. The record is from RNAcentral.
UACGUAGGAUGCGAGCGUUGUUCGGAAUUACUGGGCGUAAAGAGUACGUAGGCGGUUAAGUAAGUCAUCUAUUAAAGCCCUGGGCUUAACUUAGGUAAUGUAGAUGAAACUACUUGACUAGAGGUCAGUAGAGGAAGUCGGAAUUCUCAGUGUAGCGGUGAAAUGCGUAGAUAUUGGGAAGAACACCGGUGGCGAAAGCGGACUUCUGGGCUGAAUCUGACGCUGAGGUACGAAAGCGUGGGGAGCAAACGGG